This 1993-nucleotide long non-coding RNA is filed under the name Nicotiana benthamiana. Its description in RNAcentral is "long non-coding RNA (NBEN_LNC019858)". Lineage: Eukaryota; Viridiplantae; Streptophyta; Magnoliopsida; Solanales; Solanaceae. The record is from RNAcentral.
GGUGAAGUACAGAAAAUAUUGUGGGUUCCAACACAAAGGAUCACAACAAUGAAAGAAUUAAACAGUUUAAAUAUUUGAAUUAACAACAACAACUAAACAUAGCAAACCGAAGGUGUACGACACCAAAAAUCCAAUCACUAACAAGAAUAAGAAGACCAAGCACAAAGUUAUACUUUAAUCUUAUUUAUCUUGUGGCAGGCGUGCCACCCGCUCCCAUUUCAGUUAUCUUGUGGUAGGCGUACCUCCCGCUCCCAUUUUAUCAUAUCUUGUGGUAGCUGUACCACCCACUCCCAUUUUAUUAUAUCUUGUAGUAGGCGUACCACCCCUUCCUAUUUUAUUAUAUGUCGUGGUAGUCGUACCACCCGCUCCCAUUUCAUUAUAUCUCGUCAUCAAUUAUAAAAGAAUGUUGGCCAAGAAAUAAUAAGGAACCAACAACGUCCCGACAAUGAAAUAAUAAGGAAAUAAUAAUAUCCUGGCAAGAGAGUCAGUAACAAGAAUAGACACAUCACGGCAAGGGAACCAACAGUAAGAAUCCAAUAUGUCCCGGCAAGGGCAUCAACUAUAACCAAACUUGUAUCAACAAUUAACUUCACAAUGAAACCCCAACCACACAACAAAACAUAAUAAACAAGUGGGAACUACACCGGCAACCACAACAGUUGAACAUAUAACCUACUUGCACGAAGUCAUAGAGGAACUCACAAUCAAGAAGUAUCCAGACAACAAGAAGGUCAAUCACUUCAAUUAAGGCAAUUAAGGGUUAAUGCAACACAUAUGAAUUCAAGGAAAGCUAGCAACAUCAUUUGGAGCAUAUAGAGACAAUUUAAGCAAUUAUCAAAUUCAAUCAUAACGAAAUACUCUCCACAUUGAACAUAAGGACCUACGAACCCUAGAGAAUAUUUUUCACAAAUAAGUCCGAGCACACACUCUUUACCUCGCAUGAACGAAUUACAAUUAGUAUAGAAGACUUAAUUUCAAAGAGAGAAGUCCCCCACACAAGGUUAGUCAAAAUACUUAGCUCAACUUGACCAACUAAGACCUUGGAUAUAGCUUUUUCUCUACAAUUUGCCUCUACACAGCUCGAAUCAUCGUUAUUGCAAAGCCUAAAAUUGGUUGGUGAAGUAAUGAGCCAGAAAUCCAACACCAACUGUCCAUGGGUUCCUUGAACAUCGUUAGAAGUCCUCAAAUGCUAGUUUUAAACCAACGAAAGCAUUAGAAUCCCAAACCAAGAGUGCACAGGUCUGUUUCUAAAAAAAUCACCAUGAAUUUGUUUUUAACGCAAAGGUUUGUACCUAAUAUAACCUAGAGCGGAAAAAGAGUGGUCAAAUUAUCAAUUAUUUCUUUUGUAUUGACACAUUUGUUUCUGGCUUGUAACAUAUUUUUUUUUAAAAUUCUACAGUGAAGUGAUUCCAACAUAUGAGCAUUUAAAUAGGAAAGCAAGAUCAGAAAUUUGGUUCUUAUUUAAAAGCAAAUUACAUCUUCCACUCUCAUGAACACUAAGUCCACUCCUUAUAGCUUAAACUGGAUAUUCAAUAUGACUAUUAGGCUUAAUAAAAAAAUGUUUCAAGAAAAUGCUCAAAAUCCACUACUGUCAUGACUCCUAAACAGUAGUAUAAAUAAAAAACAUUAACAAAAUUGCAACUAAUAACUCGAGCUAAUGAACAGAACACUAAAGAAAUAAGAAAAAAAUGUGGAACAUACUAAAAUGGUGGAAGUCCUUCGAGCGAAAAAACCCCUAACUCGGUAUGUGAAGUUCUCUAAAGACUGCAAUCUACAAUCCUUUACAAUAAAUUUAGACAAUGAGCCAUUUGAUUAGAUAAGCACAGUAUGAAGGACGAUUGAGGGUUCAAGUAGCAGCGUUAUUGAUUGGCAUAAGGGGGUUGUUUUGGAAAAGUGAGAGAGAUGGAGUCCAUGAUAGCAUAUUCUAAAACUUGUGGAGACCAAUGAACCACACAAGGAAGACAUCAGGAUAAUCCAAAUAUUUUCAGAUUGC